RNAcentral lists this ribosomal RNA (554 nucleotides) under Colletotrichum tropicale. RNAcentral describes it as "eukaryotic LSU rRNA". The stretch from base 191 to 344 matches the Rfam family "5.8S ribosomal RNA". Lineage: Eukaryota; Fungi; Ascomycota; Sordariomycetes; Glomerellales; Glomerellaceae. The record is from RNAcentral.
CCUGCGGAGGGAUCAUUACUGAGUUUACGCUCUACAACCCUUUGUGAACAUACCUAUAACUGUUGCUUCGGCGGGUAGGGUCUCCGCGACCCUCCCGGCCUCCCGCCUCCGGGCGGGUCGGCGCCCGCCGGAGGAUAACCAAACUCUGAUUUAACGACGUUUCUUCUGAGUGGUACAAGCAAAUAAUCAAAACUUUUAACAACGGAUCUCUUGGUUCUGGCAUCGAUGAAGAACGCAGCGAAAUGCGAUAAGUAAUGUGAAUUGCAGAAUUCAGUGAAUCAUCGAAUCUUUGAACGCACAUUGCGCCCGCCAGCAUUCUGGCGGGCAUGCCUGUUCGAGCGUCAUUUCAACCCUCAAGCUCUGCUUGGUGUUGGGGCCCUACAGCUGAUGUAGGCCCUCAAAGGUAGUGGCGGACCCUCUCGGAGCCUCCUUUGCGUAGUAACUUUACGUCUCGCACUGGGAUCCGGAGGGACUCUUGCCGUAAAACCCCCAAUUUUCCAAAGGUUGACCUCGGAUCAGGUAGGAAUACCCGCUGAACUUAAGCAUAUCAAUAA